Molecule: ribosomal RNA, 497 nt
Filed under: uncultured bacterium
Lineage: Bacteria
Description: partial 16S ribosomal RNA
Rfam family: Bacterial small subunit ribosomal RNA
Source: RNAcentral
GAUGAACGCUGGCGGCGUGCCUAAUACAUGCAAGUCGAGCGAACGGACGAGAAGCUUGCUUCUCUGAUGUUAGCGGCGGACGGGUGAGUAACACGUGGGUAACCUACCUAUAAGACUGGGAUAACUACGGGAAACCGGAGCUAAUACCGGAUAAUAUUUUGAACCGCAUGGUUCAAAAGUGAAAGACGGUCUUGCUGUCACUUAUAGAUGGAUCCGCGCUGCAUUAGCUAGUUGGUAAGGUAACGGCUUACCAAGGCAACGAUGCAUAGCCGACCUGAGAGGGUGAUAGGCCACACUGGAACUGAGACACGGUCCAGACUCCUACGGGAGGCAGCAGUAGGGAAUCUUCCGCAAUGGGCGAAAGCCUGACGGAGCAACGCCGCGUGAGUGAUGAAGGUCUUCGGAUCGUAAAACUCUGUUAUUAGGGAAGAACAUAUGUGUAAGUAACUGUGCACAUCGUGACGGUACCUAAUCAGAAAGCCACGGCUAACUACGUG